This is a long non-coding RNA of Xenia sp. Carnegie-2017, 616 nucleotides long. RefSeq lists it as uncharacterized. The record is from RefSeq and is a predicted model, not a curated record. Lineage: Eukaryota; Metazoa; Cnidaria; Anthozoa; Malacalcyonacea; Xeniidae. The transcript has 3 exons.
GAGAAUUGAGAAAUCAUUAAAAUCGGCAGGGUGAGAUGUAUUUCUUAUAUGAGAAAGAACUGCAGAUGGUGGUGGACAUAAGGAAGGCUUCCCUAUUAAUUAUAUCUCCCUCCAGACUGGAAAGUAUGUCUUGCGCAACCUAGAUCUAGCUUGCGCAAUUUCGGGAGAAAUGCGCGUCCUGACGCGCAAAUUUUAAAAAAUUUCUUGUUCGCCGCGCAUUUGUGAAAUUUGCCGCGCAGCGCGAGAAAUUAUUGCGCAAUAUCAGCACAUGUGCGCUGCAGCGCUGUUGUUUCCGUUGAAAAAAAUUGUUGCCUGUUGAAUGUCAAUCUUACAAGCUGUUUUGACAGGCAAGUUCCGUUAAUUGGUUGGUAAGCCAAUAAGCGUUUGAUGACUAGAAAUAUGAUAUCUGAGCAGAUUAACUACACAUUCUUUGCUUUCGUUUUCGAGCUUUCUCUUUUUAAGUGACUUCAAGGCAAACCAUAUCGAUUCUUCGGUGUAUUCUACGGUGAUACGUGAUAUUUAAUUAAACCAACUUGGGGUGUUCAAAUUUGUAAGAUGGCUGAGAUUCAAGCAGUUAAAUCAGUUUGCGUUUCAUGCAAGAAGGAAUGUGGAAGCC